This is a long non-coding RNA of Eptesicus fuscus (big brown bat), 479 nucleotides long. RefSeq lists it as uncharacterized. The transcript is spliced from 2 exons. The record is from RefSeq and is a predicted model, not a curated record. Lineage: Eukaryota; Metazoa; Chordata; Mammalia; Chiroptera; Vespertilionidae.
CUUACACCCAGAUGACAUCAAGUCCACGUUCUUUGUAUUUCUUCACCUGCCUCGAGCAGGAAGCAUUAUUAAAUGUAUUUCAUUUUUUCUUUUCAACGCGGUUGCACUAAUUUUUACCCUCUACAUAUCCUCGGAUGAGGAUGAAAAGGAAAAGAAUGUAAGAAAUUUCCUGAAGCUGAGAAAGAUACAAGUCUUCAAAUUAAAAGAGUUCACCGUGUACCAAACUGAAUGAAUUUUAAAAGACCCACACCAAGUCAAGUUUUGAGAGUAGUCCCUAAUCCAAUAUGACUGGUGUUCUUAUAAGGAGAGGAGAUUAGGUCACAGACAACACAGAGGGAUAGCCAAGAAAGGACACAGCAAGAAGAUGCCCAUCUGGAGCCAAGGAGAGAGCUCGGAAGAAACCAAACCUGCUGAUGCCUUCAUCUUGGACUUCCAAGCCUCCAGAAUCGUGAGAAAAUAAAUCUCUGUUGUUUAAGCUA